RNAcentral lists this long non-coding RNA (28315 nucleotides) under Phaseolus vulgaris (common bean). RNAcentral's name for it is "long non-coding RNA (PVUL_LNC000450)". The record is from RNAcentral. Lineage: Eukaryota; Viridiplantae; Streptophyta; Magnoliopsida; Fabales; Fabaceae.
UUACUCUCUUCCAAUCCUCAUGAACUUGUGCCCUUCCCUGAAUUUAUGUAUUCUUAUGAUUUGCAUGAUCAAAUUAUUUCCCUCUCCAACAUGAGUGAGCCAAGACUUCUUUCUACUCACUUACCAUUCCCUUCAUUACCUCAAUCCAUCACAAAAUCCAAUUGCAAGAUCAUUUAUAUAUCUAGAAAUCCAUUUGAUACUUUUGUUUCAGCAUGGGAAUUCUUUACUAAAAUAAAGUCAGUAUCUUUACCUGAAUUCACUUUGGAGGAAGCAUUUGAAAAGUAUUGCAAUGGGAUAACGGUGUUUGGUCCAUGGUGGAGUCAUAUGUUAGGUUACUGGAAGGAGAGCAUAACUAGACCAAACAAAGUUUUGUUCUUAAAGUAUGAAGAUCUUAAAGAGGAUACAGUUUUUCAUGUGAAAAGAAUUGCAGAGUUCUUGGACUCUCCUAUCACUCAAGGAGGAGAGAGUACCGCAGUGAUUGAAAACAUAAUCAAACUAUGUAGAUUUGAGACGAUGAAGAAUUUGGAAGUGAACAAAUCAGGACAUAUAUACAAUAUUACAGAGAAUAAACACUUCUUUCGGAAGGGUGAAAUAGGAGAUUGGAUAAAUUACUUUUCUCCUUCAAUGAUAGAAAAGUUAUCCAAAAUCAUUGAAGAAAAAUUAGGUGGAUCAGGUCUAUCAUUUAAAGUGCAUUCCUAGAUUCCAAUGUAAUAUGCGGGUCUAUACGAGCCAACAUGUUGUAUUGUGUAGAACAACUGAUAUUGUGAUCUUUGCUUUUGAUAAAUAAAGAUGUACUGUUUUUACGCUUUUGAUAAAUAAAGAUGUAUUGUUUUUGCGCUUUUGAUAAAUAAAGAACUAUGUUUAUAUAGCUUCCAGCCAAUAAAAAAAAAAUUAUCUAGCUUCGAAGUUCUUCUCUCUUACAAUUCUUUAUCCAUGACUCUCGAAUUCUAUAUUAAGAAUUGCUCAGUGUUGUAUAUUAGGCCAUGUGGUAGAGAAGAAACACUUCUUUCGGAAGGGUGAAAUAACUACAACAAAAACAUCAUUUUUGUCGACAAAAGACGGAUGUAAAUCAAAUAAAAGUGAUGAAUAAAUGUCGGUAAUGCGUUGUCAAAAAAAUCGACGAGAAAAACAUGGAAGCAAAGUUAAUUUGUAUCAAUCAACAAAAGUGACACAAAUUAUGUAGGUCAAGCGGACAUGAAACACGUGUGAAUAGUGUGAAUAUCUAUGCAAAUUAUGUAGGUCAAGCCGAGAUAAGACAGACGAAUAUUAUUGGUGUGACACGUAAAAGAAAAAGAAAUAUCGUCCUUUCUUUUGGAAGGGACAAAACAGAAGAUGCUUCUCUUCUUCAUAUGCUUGCGGGCCUUCAGUCGAAGCCAUUGGAAGCUAUAGCUAUAGAAUGUGAAUGAUAACUCAGCAGUAACAGGUUGAUGAUAAUUUGCCAUAGUAAGGGAUAUGUUUUAUAGCGUCAUCUAGUGGUUCAAGUUGAUGAUUUGAAAUGAGAAACAAAUACUGUUUUACUGAAGCAAUAAUAAAUAUGAUUACUUACACAUAUUGGUUAAACUUGGUUUUUUUAAAACAAAAAAGAUGCCUUAUUGAAUGGUUUAGUGUGUUUCUUCCUCACGUGAUUUUCUGACAUGUGGGUUUUGGUGCAUUUUGUUUGUUAUGUUUAUUUGUAGAAGGGAUCUGAAAUUUUUUUAUUUUAUGGUCUCCUCUUUAUUAGUGUUAUGAAUUAACCCUAUUGUAAAAGAAUCAUUAACGUCCCUUCAAAAGAGUUACUAUGCAGUGUACGUGGCUGAAGGUGAAUCAUUAAAGUUCCUUUAUCAUUAAAUAUUAUUUAAUAAAUAUUUGGUUGUGAUUAUAAAUAUACCAAGGAUGGAAGAAUAGAAAGUAACUCCAAACAAACUAAAUACUACAAUUAAUACAAGUAAAAUGCUGGAAAUCUGGAAAUUAAUUUUCGAAGCUCUAUAAAAGCUAUCUCUUGCUAAGCUAUGUUAUCAUCCAAUUUUAUGAUAAAUUAAUUCUAUGAUAUUUUGUUUGAGAAGAAAAAUUUGAUUUGGAAAAUUACUUUUCUUCUUAUAGGAUAGAAAGUUAAGAAAAAUUAAGUGUAUCAAGUUUAUCAUUUAAAGUGAAUUUCUAGAUACCAAGGUAAUAUGCGAGUCCAUAAAACUCAACAUGUUGUAUUGUGUAGAACAAAUGAUAUUGUGAUUUGAUAAAUAAAGAUGUGUUUUUAAGUUUUGGAUAAAUAAAGAACUAUGUUUUUAUAGCUUCUCACUACAAGAAAAUAAUGAAAUAAAAACUAUUUUUUAGUGACAAAAAAUAAUUAGUUGCUAUAGUGACUAAAUUAGAUACCAUUUUAGAGACUAAAAAAUUUUUGGUUUGUAAAUUAGUUUCUAUUAUUGUUAAAUGAUUUCUAAAUUGGUAUAUAAUUAGCUACGUAUCAAGGUUUUCGUUACCAGAUUUAGAAACUAAAUAAUUGGUAGUUAAAACUAUGGUUACUAAUUAGAUACCAAUUUAGAAACCAUUUAACAAUAAUAAAAACUAAUUUAGAAACCAUUUUUUUUUAUUUUCUAAAAUGGUCUCUAAUUUAGUUACUAUAGCAACUAAUUUUUUUUUGUCUCUAAAAUUGGUUUCUAUUUCAUGUUACUAUAGCAACUAAUUUCUUGCAGUGUCUGGCCAAUAAAUAAUAUAUAGCUUCGAACUUUUUUUUUUCUUACAAUUUUUUCAACCAUGACUCUCGAGUAUUGUAUUAAGAAUUAUUUACUGUUGUAUAUUAGGCAAUAUGGCAAAAAAGAAACACGGAAGGAUGAAAUAUACAACAAAAACAUCAUUUUUGGACGGCAAAAGAUGGACAAAAAUAAAAGAAAACCGACAAAUAAAUGUUGCUUAUGCGUCGGCCAAGAAACCAACAAAAAAAGCGUGGAAACAAAGUUAAUUUGUGUCGGCUAGCAAGGGUAAUGUAAAUUACAUAGACCAAGCUUACGUGAGACAAACAUAAAUAUCGUUGACAUGAUCUUUGUAAAUAGGGAUGAAAUAUUGUCGGUGAGACCAACGUUGAUGUAUUAGAAAUGCCAGCAUGCGUUGACCAAGCAUAACACACAAAAAUAUCAAAAUUUGCGUCGGCCUAACUGGAGCAAAAUUGGACAAAACCAAAAAUAAAAAUAAAAAUAAAAGCUAGUGUGGACCUACAUCACACAAAAAUGGAAGCUAGAAAAAAUAUUAAAGAUUAAUAAUGAUUUGCAUGAACUUGGCUGACACAUGAAAAAAAAUGCAGUUUAUUUUUAUUUCUCUACCCAUUUUCACAUGUAAAAAGUUUUCAUAUCCAUUAUGAAAAACCAUCCAAAUUAUUCAAACAUCUAGAUAAUUAUCUAUUUCAUUUCACUUAUUAAAACUAUUAAAAUCAUUUAAAUAUCUAAAUAAUUUCAAGUUGAAUAUUAAUACAUAAAAUAGAACUUAGCAAUUGAAAUGUAUAAGUUUACUAUAAAAAUAAAGCAUAAAAUAAAAUUGUAAAUUAAAAAUUACAAAUUACAAAUUAACCAAAAGGACUAGAACUUGAAAGGUACCAUAAUACAAUUAUAUAAAAAAAAAUUACAACAACUAAAAAUAUGAAAUAUGUCCCAUGAAGUAAAAAUACCACUCAUGUGAUCCAUAAAAAUCUGUAAAAAAAAUACAAAUAAUGUGAAUAACUAAAAUAUUUAGUAUAUAACAAAACUGUAAAAUAAUUAAACUUACAGUCUGGGAUGUCCUUCAAGAAAGGGACUAGUCAUCAUACUUUGGAGAAUAUUGAUGUUGGAAUUAACUUGUACUAGUGGAAGCAUUACCACCAUGUUGCAACACCGUGACAAGUUGUUCCUUUAUUUCGUCCUCCAAGUAUAUAUGCAUACUUUUGAUCCCACAUGCUAACUUCUACACGAAAUUGAUGAUUUUCAGUCAACUAAUCAAAUUGAGAAGUGUCGGAACCAGAGGAAGGCAGAAAGAGGGAACAGAGCCAUUGAUGGAAGUUACUAACCAAGUCUGUCAUACCAAACUUAAUGUUAACAUUUUAUAAAUAUUUUAUUUAAUUUAUUAUUUUUUAUCAAUAAAAACAAAAAAAAAGUGUGUGAGCAUUAGAUUGGUGUCCCACAGUAGUAGCAGGUGUUGUUCAUUAUUUGUCAUUUACCCCACCUAUCAAUUAUAUGUCUGCAACCACUUUCUUUAACUCAUUUAAUUUGCAUUUUCAAAACAGUUUAGUUUAUGGCAGUUUGAGUUUUUAAGAUAAACAUUGCAUGUGGUCAGUUUUUUUGUAGGGUUAGCAUUUUGUCGUAGUGCUGAUUAUGUUGUAUGAACACAAAAGUGAAAGUUCACUAAUCAGAACUGGCAAUAAAAAGUUAAAGUUAGUUAAGUUCAAAAGUUAAAAAAAAAAGUAUUUUCUAUAAAAUAUAUUUAAAUUAUUAUUUUACUUUACGUUCUUUUAAAAUUAAAAUAUUUAUACAUAAUUUUUUAUAAUAUUAUUCGCAUUUUUAAAUUAAUAUAUAUUCACAAUUUUUUAUAAUAUUUAAUUUUUUUAAUUUGAUUAUUUUUUUGAAAAAAAUUAUUUAAUAAAUAUUUGUUUGUGAUUAUGAAUAUACUGAGGAUGGAAGAAUAAAAAGUAACUCAGAAAACACUGGAAAAUCUAGAAAUUAAUACAAGUAAAAAGCUGGAAAUCUAGAAAUUAAUUUAAUAAGUUCUAUAAAAGCUAUCUCCUGCUAAGCUAUGUUUUCAUCCAAUUCUAGUAUUCACUCACCAUUCAUAUUGAAGCCACUCCAAUGGCUUUGGCAAGUCACAAACAAGCAAAUGAAGAAAACGAAAUAAUCAUCUCCCUUCCCAAGGAGAGUGGUUUGGGUGCAGGACCCUAUCUCCAUCUAUUUCAAGAUUUUUGGUGUCCAACAAAUUCUGUUGAAGGAGUGAACAAGUUUCAAAAACAUUUUGAUGCAAAAGACAAUGAUGUUUUUGUUGCCAGCUUUCCAAAAUCAGGUACUACCUGGUUGAAAGCCCUUACUUUUGCCAUUGUAAACCAUCAACAGUUUUCCUCUUUCGACAACCAUCCAUUACUCUCUUCCAAUCCUCAUGAACUUGUGCCCUUCCCUGAAUUUAUGUAUUCUCAUGAUUUGCAUGACCAAAUUCUUUCCCUCUCCAACAAGAGUGAGCCAAGACUUCUUUCUACUCACUUACCAUUCCCUUCAUUACCUCAAUCCAUCACAAAAUCCAAUUGCAAGAUUAUUUAUAUAUGUAGAAAUCCAUUUGAUACUUUUGUUUCAGUAUGGGAAUUCUUUAAUAAAAUAAAGCCAGUGUCUUCACCUGAAUUCAUCUUCGAGGAAGCAUUUGAAAAGUACUGCAAUGGGAUAAUGGGGUUUGGUCCAUGGUGGAGUCAUAUGUUAGGUUACUGGAAGGAAAGCAUAACUAGACGAAACAAAGUUUUGUUCUUAAAGUAUGAAGAUCUUAAAGAGGAUACAGUUUUUCAUGUGAAAAGAAUUGCAGAGUUCUUGGACUCUCCUAUCACUCAAGGAGGAGAGAGUAACACAGUGAUUGAACACAUAAUCAAACUAUGUAGAUUUGAGAAGAUGAAGGAUUUGGAAGUGAACAAAUCAGGAUGUAUAUUAAAUGGUGUAGAGAAGAAAAAUUUCUUUCGGAAGGGUGAAAUAGGAGAUUGGAUAAAUUACUUUUCUCCUUCAAUGAUAGAAAAGUUAUCCAAAAUCAUUGAAGAAAAAUUAGGUGGAUCAGGUCUAUCGUUUAAAGUGCAUUCUUAGAUUUCAAUGUAAUAUGCGAGUCCAUAUUAGCCAACAUGUUGUAUUGUAUAGAACAAAUGAUAUUGUGAUCUUUGCUUUUAAUAAAUAAAGAUGUACUGUUGUCACGCUUUUGAUAAAUAAAGAACUAUGUUUAUAUAGCUUCCAGCCAAUAAAAAAAAUUAUCUAGCUUCCAAGUUCUUGUCUCUUACAAUUCUUUCAUCCAUGACUCUCGAGUUUUGUAUUAAGAAUUGCUCACUGUUGUAUAUAUUGGGCAAUGUGGCAAAGAUGAAACACUUCUUUCUGGAAGGUGAAAUAACUACAAAAAAACAUCAUUUUUUUUGUUGGUAGAAAUGAAAAUCAAUGAAUAAACAUCGGUGUUAUGUGUUGGUAAAGAAGUUGAGGAGAAAAGCGUGGAAGCAAAGAUAAUUUGUGUAGGUCAACAACAGCAACAUAAAUUGCGUGAGUCAAACUGAUGUGAAACUUAUGACGUAAACAGGGAUAAAAUAUCAUUGUUGAGAUCUACGCAAAUGUAUCAAAAUCGCCAUAAUGCGUCAACCAAGCAAAACGGAAAAAGAAUAAAAAUAAAUCAGAAUUUGCAUCGACCUAGCCGAUGCAAAAUUGGACAAACUAAAAAUAAAAAUAAAAGCUAGUGUGUCUAGCGUGACAAAGUGGGCUGGCUCACCCCGUGAGCAAAAUGUGGGUCGGGUUGGCCUGUCCUGCGCUAGGAGUGCGGUCUCAUUUUACUGAUCUACCCCGCAUAACUAGUAACCCGCGGACCAGCCCACAUAAACAAUUUUUUUCCAAAAAUUAAAAUUUAUAAUAUUGAAUGGAAAAAUGGUCUAAUAUAAAAUUAUUUAAAUAAGAGGAGACAGAAAGUUUUAUUGAGCUUAGUCAAUAUGGUUUUUGAAGUUAUUUAUACCACGACUCAUUUUAACAUAUAAAUAUACAUAAAUAUUAUUUGCAAAAAUAAUUUAGUAAAUAUGAAAAAUAAAAAUAAAAAGUAUUUUAGAAUUACUUAAAAUUUAUUUAAACUUUAAAAAUAUUGCAUUUUAUAUCAACCAUGUCAAAAUGCUUUCCCAUUCCAAGAAGGAUGAUUUAUUGUGUAAUAGACUUUAAAAUAUGUAAAUAAAAUAAACUUAAAUAAGUUUUAGAUUCUUGAUAUAUAAUAUUUUUUAUUUUAAGCAUCUAAUAAAUUUUUCUUUAAAAAAUACCUAAUAAAUUAUAAAAAAUUUAUUUAAACAUUUAUUAAUAUUUCCUCCCGUAAAGUAUUUGUAUAUUUUUCAAUUAACCUAAAAUUAAUUUAAAUAAAAAAGAUAUUAAGGAAAUACUUUCAACAUUUCUCUUUGCUUUAAUAUUUUUUUUAUUUAAAUUUUAAAUUACAAAUUUGAUUCCGGACUUGUCCUUUCUUUUUCCAUAUAAUUCUUGUCCUUUUCUCUCUUCUAUAGAUCAUAUCUUUAUUCAAUUUUUAUGCUUCAUCUUAUUUCUUUUUAUAUCAACCUCAUCUUUUUUCUUUACUAUAUCAUAAUGACAUUAGACUUUUGAUGGAUGUUAAAAUGUAGUUCAUCUACUUUCUUCUAUUUUGUACAUCAAACUUCCUUAAGAGAAAUCUAUCUUCUUUUUAUUUUAAUCCUUCUUUCAUAUCUUUUUCAUUGGUAGUCAAUUCCUUUUUCAUGAAAUCUAGAGAAAAACUUUAGUCUUUCAUAGGAACCUGAAUACUUCUAAGUUGUUUACAUCUUUAAUCUAAACAAAGUUUGUUUUCAAAUGACACCUUAUUAACCUUAAUUUACGGGUUGAGCAACACUUAAAUUUCGAUUAAUUUCAAGAAUAUAUAAGAAAUUAAAAAUCAAUUUGAGAAUUUUAAUUGUAAUUCCAAACAAAUUGUUCUAUAUAUCUAAUUCUUACUUUAAAAAUAUCAUAUUUGUUUAACUCUUUAAAAAGUUCUCGAACAUGAACCAUAUGUACAAUAACUAUUUAUAAGUCAACAUUUUUAUAUUUGUUGGUUGUAACAUGAUUUUGCAAGAAAUAAUUUUUCUUUUGAUUCAUCCUUUCCAAUCUUAACAUUUUCUUGGAGUGUUGUUUUGAUUGUAUUUGUUCCUUUUGUAAUUCUUCACUUCGAAAAAACAUUUGACACAAUGAAAUACCUUCAAUAACAUGGUCUUCUCUCAUGAAUUCAUUGUUCUUGUGGUUACAUGUACACAUCUACGAAAGUAAUUAUAUAUAAAUCUUUUGUGUUUUCAAUCAAAACAAUAAAUACUUCCUAUCUCUCUAGCACCUUUAUGAAAGUUACAAAGUUUUCACUUUAACUUUUCUUUUAUCGGCAAAAAAGAAUAAAAUAAAUGGAGGUAUUUUAGAGAUACCUCAACCCUUAUACAAAAACAACAACAUCCAUUCGCUAGCCACUCGUAACAUAACUUUGAAGUGACCCAUGACCAGACCUGCACCUGCACCAUUGUUCUUGGUAUAAUCGGAAUCCACCUAGGGGUUCCGUUUGUCCAAAGCCUAUUCGUUCUUCAAAAUCUCUUACGAGAGGACCUAGACGCUUGUACACACGAUCAUUCAUAUUAAUUGGUAUAGCUAGGACCUUCCAGUACUUUCAAUGAAAGAUUCAACACGCUCCACUUAAGCUACUAAGGAGAUGGAAGAUCGAAUAUCCGAAAGGAUGGAUAAUAGGUUUAUGGAACUCAUGAAUACGUUGAAGGAAACCUUGACUCUUUCUAUGAAGGACACCAUGCUGGAACUACUUACUCAAUCUCGAGGAGAAGGGCUCCAUGGCCUCUCAAAUGACAACAUGUGGUUUAGUGCAAUUGGCGAUGAUCCCAUGGCUGAGUUGUUGCAUCUACAACAAAAGACUUCACUUGAUGCCUAUCAUGAAGAGUUCAAUUCAAUCAUUACAAGAUUGAAGUUAUCUGAUGAUCAUAUUCUAAGGUGCUUCCUUGGUGGAUUACAGAAAGAAAUCCAAAUGAUGGUAAGAAUGUUCCAACCUAAGUCUCUACAACAUGUGUUUAACUUGGCCAGGACGUAUGAAGCAACUACUUCAAGCAAUUCGAUGGCCAAAUUCCACAGGGGAGUCUUGGGUCCAGCACCAGUGCCUAUAUCGUCGUCUGCUUCAAUCAAUGCGGCCCCAAACCCAAACCAACACGCCACUUAACAACGAAGUUCAUCAAGAUAUAAAAACCUUGGUUGCUAAUUAGAUACCAAUUUAGAAACCAUUUAACAAUAAUAAAAAUUAAUUUAGAAACCAAAAAUUUAUUUAGUCCCUAAAAUGGUCAUUAAUUUAGUCACUAUAGCAACUAACUAUUUUUUGUGUCUAAAAUUGGUUUCUAUUUUAUGAUUUUCUUGUAGUGUAAAGAUUACAUGAUAGAAGAAUAAGAAGGAAAUACUAAUAUUUAAGGCAUGAAAUUAUUAAAUUUAACAAGGAAGUUCAAACAACCAAUUAAGAAAUACUCAAAUAAAUUCUUCAAUGGUCUAAUAAGAUUAAAUUAUCGGAAAAGAGUUUUUUGAUUUCAGAUUAGUUGAGAAAAUUUUGGGGAAGAUAUCAAAAAACAAUAUUUUAUUUAAAAAAAAAUCUAUUUUUAUUCUAUUUCAUUUUAAUUUAUGUCCCAAAAAUUAACUCUUUCGUUUUCCAUUUUUAGUAAAAACUUCAUCAAAUGGUGAAAGAAGAAAGCUUAAGCAACAGGUUUUGUGGCAUACAUUAUAAAUUUGGGUUUUGAACAUGGUUGGACUGAGCUCAUCUAUUCAAUAAGGACAACAAAAUUUUGAAUAUGUAGUUUUCCCUUUAAAAUGAAGAGGAUGUUAACCAAUUAAUGUAACUUUAUUUGCAUAUUAUGAAAUGAGUUGCAUUACAUGGAAACUCAAUUUCUCAUUACCUCUCAUUUCGUCAGAACUUGCCACUAUUUGCAUAAAAUUCCUCAUUAUUAUAAUAUACUGCUACAUGCCUCAAACUUUAAUCUACUAUUAUAUAGCUGCAUCACACUUUGUUAUAAUCUAUAUUAUAUUUUACUGCAAAGUCAACUUCUUUUUGUCCUUUACAAUGUUAUUUUAAAAUAAUUACAAUGUUAGAUGAGUUGGGUUUAUUUAUUGAUUAGUUAGCCACCGAAAUUGAAAAUUAUUAUUGGCUCACUAGCCUUCAAAGGCAUCAUUCAAAAUAGUUUAUUACUAUUAUUUCCAUUGCACUGCACCCAAUCAAAGGCCUAAGGUUGAAACCAAAUUAUUCAGUUUCAUUCAUCCACUCCCUUUCCUCUUGUUACCGGUGCUCUUGUUUCAUUCAAUGGCAGAAAUUGUUACCGGUGCUCUUGUUUCUGUUGUCCUCGAAAGAACUAUUGACACUUUGGCUUCCCGUUUUGUCCACAUAUUUCGUGGAAGAAAACACAAAAAGAAGCAACUCAGCCACCUGAAGAUGAAGCUCCUAGCCAUUGAUGUUGUGGCUUUUGAUGCAGAACAUAAGCAGUUCACAGAUCCUCGUGUGAGAAAUUGGCUUCUCAGGGCCAAAGAUGUUGUGUUUGAUGCAGAAGAUCUCUUGGAUGAAAUAGAUUAUGAACUCUCCAAAAGCCAAGUGGAAGCUGAGUCUCACAGUGCUACUAACAAGGUGUGGAAUUCCCUCAAAUCUUCUUUUCUCAGUUUCUUUGAAAAUGAAAUUGAAUCCAGGAUGGAACAAGUCACUGAAGACCUAGAAGAUCUUGCAACCCAAAGCGAUUUUCUAGGUUUGAAAAAGGCUAGUGGUGUUGGGGUUGCACCAGGAUCGAGUAGUAGAUUAACAUAUACAUCUUUGCCAAAUGAAAGUGUUAUGUAUGGCAGAGAUGAAGACAGAGAAUUUGUGUUUAAUUUGCUCACAUCUGACAGUCACAAAAACCUAUCUAUACUUUCUAUUGUGGGCAUGGGUGGGUUGGGUAAGACCUCACUUGCCCAACAUGUAUUCAAUGACCCAAGGAUUGAAGGUAAAUUUGAUAUUAAAGCUUGGAUCAGUGUUCCACAGGAAUUUGAUGUUCUCAAUGUAUCAAGGGCCAUUCUUGACACAAUUACAGGUUCAACUGUUCAUAGUAUACAGCAGGAAGUUAUUCAGAGAACACUGAAAGAAAAAUUGACGGGGAAGAAAUUUCUUCUCAUUUUGGAUGACGUUUGGAACGAAAGGCAAUCUAUAUGGGAAGAUGUGCAGAAGCCCCUACUUUUCGGAGGCCAAGGCAGUAGGAUUCUUGUCACUACACGUAGUGAGAAGGUUGCUGUUACCAUGCGAUCAGAAAAGCACCUCCUGCAGGUAUUAAGGAAAGAUUAUUGCUGGGACUUGUUCGCAAAACAUGCAUUCCAAAGUGUUAAUCCUCAACCGGAUCCAGAGUUCAUGGAGAUUGGUAAGAAGAUAGUUGAAAAAUGUAAUGGGCUUCCUUUAGCCUUGAAAACAAUGGGAAGUCUACUAAACAGUAAAUCAUCCUUUUGGGAAUGGGAAAGCAUUAUGAAAAGUGAGAUAUGGGAUUUUUCAGAAAAUGAAAGUGAUAUACUCCCUGCUUUAAGACUGAGUUAUCACCACCUUCCUUCUCAUCUCAAGAAAUGCUUUGCUUUUUGUGCCUUGUUUCCAAAAGGUUAUAAGUUUGAUAAGGAGUGUUUAAUUCAACUGUGGAUGGCUGAGAAUUUUCUAGAAAGCCCUCUACAGAAAAGGAGUCCUACAGAAGUUGGAGAACAGUAUUUCAAUGAUCUGUUAUCUUGGUCCUUCUUUCAACAAUCAGGAAAUGGAAAAGAAAAGCAUUUUAUCAUGCAUGACCUUCUAAAUGAUUUGGCAAAAUUCGUUUGUGAGGACAUCUGCAUCAGGUUAGGAGUUGAUGAACCAAAAGGUAUACCCAAGACAAGCCGUCAUUUUUCAUUUCAUACCAAUGGUGUUACACGUUUUGAUGGGUUUGGAAGUUUAAUUGAUACUCAAAAGUUGCAUACAUUUAUGCCAACUGACAGGAGAAUGAAUAAUCCUUUUUCUGGCAUUUGGUAUUGUAAGAUGUCGAUAGAUGACUUGUUUUCCAAAUUUAAGUUCAUACGCUUCUUAUCUUUGUCUGAUUGUCGUAACCUUAGAGAGGUGCCUAAAUCUGUAGGAAAUCUUAAGCAUCUCCGUUCAUUAGAUCUCUCUUCUACUAAAAUAAGAAAACUACCUGACUCCAUAAGUUUACUCUACAAGUUGCAAAUCUUGAAGUUGAACUAUUGUCGAAAAUUGAAGGAGCUUCCCUCAUAUUUGCAUCAACUGGACAAUUUGCGAUGCCUUGAAUUUAUAAAUACUGGAGUGAAAAAUGUGCCAGCACAUUUGGGAAGGCUGAAGAAUCUCCAAAUAUUCAUGAGUUCGUUUUCAGUUGAAAAAUGUAAGGAAUUCAGUAUUCAGAAAUUGGGAGAACUCAAUCUUCAUGGAAGCCUAACAUUUCAUGAGCUGCAAAAUAUAGAGAAUCCCUCUUAUGCAUUAGAAGCAGAUUUGAAGAACAAACCACACCUUACGGAGCUACAGUUAGAAUGGAAUAUUAUGGGCAACUCCUCUGUUGAUUCAACCAAAGUUGGGGAUGUAAUUGAGAAUCUACGACCUUCAAAGCACUUGAAGAAGUUAUCAGUAAGGAACUAUGUUGGUAAACAACUUCCAAAUUGGUUACUCAAUAAUUCGUUACUGAAUUUGGUGUCCUUAGAGUUGAUGAAUUGUAUAUGUUGCCAAGGUUUUCCUCCGCUUGGUCUUUUGCCAUUUCUGAAGAAGCUGGGGAUUUCAGGGUUUGAUGAGAUAGUGAGUAUUGAUGCUGAUUUUCAUGGGAAUAACUCUUCUUCCUUUAAAUCCCUUGAAACAUUGAUCUUCUCCAAUAUGAGGCAAUGGGAAAAGUGGGAGUGUCAAGCUCUGACAGGUGCUUUUCCAUGUCUACGAGAACUUUCCAUAAAAGAAUGUCCGAAGCUGAAAGGACAGCUGCCAGAGCAAGUUGCUCUUUUGAAAAUACUAGAAAUUGAAGACUGCCAAGAACUUGAGUCAUCAAUAACUUAUGACUGUGUCUCUCUAUGUACCUUUCCAUUGGAUUUCUUUCAAACACUCACGACCCUUCAACUCAGUGGGUUUGGUAAUUUACAGAUGAUUUCACAAGGUCUCAUCCAUAAUCAUCUGGAGCAUCUGCAAAUAAUUAGGUGCCAUAAAUUAGAAUCAUUGCCUGCAAACAUGCAUACGCUGCUUCCAUAUCUGAGGACGUUAAGGAUAGAAGACUGUCCAAGACUUGAGUCGUUCCCCGAAGGAGGUUUGCCAUCAAAUCUAGAAGAUCUGAAAAUCAUUAAGUGCUCUAGACUUGUUGGAUCACUGAAAGGAGCUUUCGGAGACAGUUCUUCUUUGAAAUGGUUGAGGAUUGAAGAAGCGGAUGCAGAAUGUUUUCUUGAUGAAGGUUUGCUUCCACUCUCUCUUACUGAUCUAUCCAUCUAUUAUUGUCCAAAUCUAGAGAAACUGGACUGUCUCUAUCAACUCUCAUCCCUUCAAUCACUGAAACUUUUUGACUGCCCCAACGUCCAACGCUUACCAGAGGAGGGUCUUCCCAAAUCAAUUUCAUAUCUUGAUAUAAGCGAUUGUCCUUUGCUUAAACAGCGUUGCCAAAAAGGAGGCGAAGACUGGGAAAAGGUUGCUCACAUUCAAAACCUAUAUAUGUGUAUGUAUCUACGGAAGUAAAUAAUGUGGUUUUGGUGGGCUACAAUUUAUUUUUGUUUUGAAUGUGUAUCAACUAUUUUUCUCUUUUGUUGGUACUGCUGCAAAAUGUGUGUAACCAUUCACUCUUCCAUCAUUUUAAGUAGGAAAUGUAAAAUGCAAUAGUUAUAAAGCUUAAAUAAAUUUUAAGUUUCUAAUAUAUUUUUACAUAGAAGCACCUGUAAUGGGAUAUAGUUUUUAUAUACAAAAAGAAGGAUAACAAAAGGUCGUUAAAAAACAGUUUAUUAAAAUACAUUUAUGUGGUAAAUAAUCAAACCAAACUUCUCAAGGAUGCAGAGGUGAGAAAAUCAGCAGGAAGUGGUAGAAGGUGGGUGUAGCAGGAGCUGCGGUGUGGGGUAGCAAUUUAGAAGAUCUAUCUUCUGAGGAAAUGUGAUUGUAGCUGAUAGAAUGGGAUGAAGUCUAUUAUAAAAGCAUCCUAUGAGGCUUAUUCUAUAGGAAUUAUUGCUGUCUUGUAAGUGUGGGUGGGUUGAAGCACGAUUUUUCAUGCUCAAGCUGCAGAUGUUAGUUUAAAGUCUGGAGAAAUUCUACAAAAUCAAUCUUUGUCAUAUAUGAUAUGGUGUUUUCUGAUAUAAACGCAAUGUUUUCCUCUAGCCUUGGAAACAAUGGGAAGUCUGCUAUGCAAUAAAUCAUCCGUUUAAGAAUGGAAAAAUGUAUUAGAAAGCAAAAUCUUAUCCUCUUCUGAGGCAUCUUCUAUGUGAGUCUCUUUUUCAUCUUUUAUUUGAUCAUAUAUCCAAAAGGAGAAGUACUGUUGGCUUGAAUGUUCUGCACGAGGAUUUGAGUUCCUUCUCCUACUUCCCAUGUGUAACCGUAGAUUCUGGGCUUCAAACGGUGAGAAACUGGAAGAAUUAAUGUGGAGAGUGGGGAAGGAUGUAGGAUUUAGUUAUGAGGAGGGUGACGAGAAUAUAGUUCAUAAACUUAAAGUCUUAGAGAAUUUGGAUAAUGUUAUAUCUAAGCAAAAUGCAGGGAGGAGGAUAAUAAUGAUAAUCAUCUCAAUGAAUAUUCGCGGGAUUGGUGGUACAACGAAGAAGAGAUUUAUUUGAGAUUUAAUACAAAAAGAAAAGGCUGAAUAGUGUGUAUUAGGAAACAAAAAAGAAUGUCAUUAACUCUAAAAUGUGUUUUAAUCUUUGGGGUAGUAAUCAAUAUAUAGAAAGGAGACUCUUGGUUUUAAUAUCUUCAUUGAAAACAUGGUAUAAGGCAGAUGGAACUGCUAAACGUAGGAUUGAUAGAGUUCUUUUGUCAAAGGAGUGGUUGGAUAAGUGGCCCAAUAGUAAGCAAUUUGCCCUUGAAAGAGGUAUAUCCCAUCAUACUCCCCUUGCCCUAAAAGAGAAAAGGGACCUAAACCUUUUAGGUUUAUGAAUAUGUGGAGGGAGCAUGCUGGUUUUGAUGAAGUGAUGGACAAACUGUGGUAACAAAAAGUCCGGGGCAUUAGUCAUAUGUCUAAAUGGAAGAAAAAGUUGAAAGCUGUUAAAAGGGGGUCUUAAGGAAUGGAACAGGGAGGUAUUAUUAAGGACCUUGACAGCAAAGAUGACCUAGGAGUUCUUAUUAUGCAAGAAACACAGCUUUAGGCAACAAAUGUUGGCUGAAUUGUCUCUGCUGGAUCAUAAAAUUGAAGCUUUCUUAGCCAAAAAGCUAGGGUAAGCUGGAUUAAGGAUGGAAAUACAAAUUCUAAAUUUCCAAGUGGAUGUAAUAAUCCUUUAUUACAUAUUAUAACUAUUGUUAGAUAUUUCUAUCGACUUAGCCCAUAUUUUCUGUAUGUUUCUUUUUUAUAUAAAGAUAACCCUUUGUGUUCAAUAUACACAAGGGAUUUAUCUUAUUCUUUUAUUUUAAAAUGGUAUCAAAGUCAUAUAGAGCCUAACCUAGCGAGAGUUUGUUGGGCUUAUCAACCCACCCAUCGGGUUGCUAUCGGACCACCCAUAAAUAUAUGGUCUCAUGCACAAGUUUACCGUCUUGAUAUGAGGGGUGUGUGAUGGCGAUCCCACAUCCAUUAGAAAUAAAGACAUUUCAAAGUAUAUAAGUGGGUGCAAACCUCACCUUAUAAGCUAGUUUUAUAAGGUUGAGUUAGGCUUAUAGUCCACUUCUUAACAGUCCCUAAAGUAGUUUGUCCCUAGGAUUUUAAUGACUUUCAACCCAUAUUUCUAAUUGGCUGUUUGUCCAAAAUUUCUUAAUUUUUUUAGUAAAUAGGCUAGAAAAGGUCAUCCCAAAGGUUAUUGACCAAUCUCAAUCAGCAUGCUUAGAAGGAAAGGCCUUCUUGAUAGUGUUUUGGUGACAAAUGAGACACUUGAUGAGGUCAAAAGUAAAGGUAAGAAGUGCAUUAUUGUAAAGGUUGAUUUUGAAAAAGUUUAUGACAUGGUGAGAUGGGAUUAUUUGGAACAUAUGAUGUCUAGACUUGGUUUUUGUAGUACUUGGAUUAGGUGGAUGAUGAGUUGUCUUAAAUCCGCAUCUAUCUCGGUUUUAGUCAAUGGUAGUCCAACUAAGGAGUUUAAGCCACAAAAAGGUCUUAGACAAGGAGACCCUAACACCUUUUCUGUUUCUUGUUGGGGUAGUUAGGCAAGCAUUGGAAAAGGUUGUCAUUAAAGGUAUCAGAGUUGGACAUAAUGAGAUUCAAAUUGGGUUUUCACAGUUUGCAUAUGACACUUUGUUCAUACGUGAAACGGGUAUGGGGUGUGUUGUAGCAAUAAAAAACAUUUUAAGAUGUUUCCAACUUAUGUCAAGGUUGAAAGUGAAAUUUAGAAAAAACAAAAAUUAGGGGAAUGGGGUUGAAAUUUUUGAACUAGAUAGAUUUCUUUGAUGCUUAAUUCUACACCCAUGAACUUACCUUUUAAGUAUUUAGGCCUUUGGGUUGGGGGAAACCAGUCCAGAUAUUCUUUUUGGGAGCCUGUGAUUAAUAAGAUUAGGAGUAAGAUAGCAGUCUAGAGAGAAAAUUCAUAUCUUUUGCCCGGUAGGGUAUGCCUGAUUAAAUAUGUUCUAACUACUAUACUUCUCUAUUACUUAUCCCUUUUCAAGAUUUCGAUAGAAGUGGAAAAACCUUUUAGGAAAAAUCAAUUGAAAUUCUUAUGAGGCUGGGGAUUUGAAUCAAGGAAAAUUUCCUGGGUGAAGUGGACGGAUAUAUGCAAGAAAAGGGAAUUUAGGGGUUAGGAGUUAAAGAUUUGAAAAGGUUUAAUGCAACUUUAUUAGCUAAAUGGAUAUGUCGAUUGGGAUUAGAAUUAACUAGGAAAUGAAGAGAUAUUUUAGAAUCUAAAUAUGGGGGUUGGUGGAACAUAGUGGACUGUCACGUUAGGAAGGAAUCUAGAUGGUGGAAGAUAUUAAGAAAAUAGGAAUAUCUGCUUUUGGGAAUUGGUUAUGGGAUAAUGUAUCUUGGGAAGUUGGAAAUGGUAGAAAUAUUCUUGUUUGAAAUGAUAAGUGGUUGGGCGAUAUAGUGUUAUCUGAAUUAGAAUGAUAAGUAGUUAGUGUUAUCCGAAAAAUGGCCUGGGAUUUUUUCAAAUGCAAAAUCUAAGUCCAUAUGUCUGAGGGAAGUUGGUGAGUGGGUUAAUCGAAGAUGGUUGUGGAAGUUGGAAUAGAGAAGACUUUGGUUCUGAUGGGAAAAAUGGAUGGUAGAAAGUUUUAUAGGCUUUAUUGAAUGAGCUAAUCUCCAUAGGCAUAGGCUGAUAAGUGGAAGUGGAUCAAAACUGAAGAUCAUAUUUUUUUCUGUCAAAACCACAUAUGAAAUCAUAGAUGUGAGGGAGUUAGAAAUGUGGGAAAGUAUCUAUACUGAGUUAUGGUGUGUUAAAUUUCUUCGGUCUGGAAAACUGUUUGUUUGGCACUUGUUUAAACAGAGAGUAACAAUCGGUUGUUUCGUGGUUUCAACCGAUUGUUUCUUUGAAAAUCCUAACAGAAUUUUGUUUUGGUUGUUGAAUGUGCUUUACAUGAUUUUCAACUGAAUACGCUCCUUUAUUAAUUGUUUUGACCAAUCUUUGGAAAAUAUAAAUGGUUUGUUUAUGUUUUCAAACAAGCAAGUGAAACAGAUUUGAGUUUUUUAGUUGUGAAGAAGUUGAUUCUAAAGAUUUGAACAUUCACAUCAAGCUUUGGGUUUUUCAAAGAGAGUGGAAUAGGAUUGCAAUUGUAUUGAGUUCAUUUUGUAUUGUGAACAAGUGUAAUCCCUUCUCAAUCUACUGUAUUUCUGGUGUUAUGUUGCCAAGGAGUGUUGUGUGCUCUUAAGGUGGUCAAGAUCAAUACCCUUGGUGUGUUUUGCCAAAGCGAGUGCGUUUCUUGAAGGGUUCAAGUUAGUACUUUGGUGGUUUGUGUGUUGUAAUCUGGUUUAAUUACUUAGUCGAUUACCCAGUGGUUUUCUGAGGACUGGAUGUAGCUCUUGGCUUAAGAGUGAACCAGUAUAAACUAUUGGUGUAUCUCUCUCUUACUCUAAACUCAUUUAAAUUUUGUUUUAAGCUUUAUUGGUAUAAACAAUCGAUAGUUUCAAAGAAACAACCGAUUGUUUUUCUGUUACUUUGCUGUUUUAUUGCUUAUAUUCUGGGCUAACUUGAUUUAUGUUCUGGAUUCACACAAAGAAUUUCAUUAAACCUCAAAAAGUUUUCCAAAACCUUUCUUAAACAAUUCACACCCCUCUCGUUUAAGGCCAUAUAUUCUAACAGUUUGCACAUGAGAAGGCACGUCCAUAAAUAAAUCACAAAAAGAAGAUACGGAUUAGAAAAGCCAGGACGUUUUCUUUUUGGAAAACCAGUUUUGUUCAGUAUCGGUCUGGGACUUACUACACCUUACUCCUUGGGUAUUUUGGUCUAAAAAUUUUACCAGACAUUCAUCAUUGUGUCUUUUGAGUUUUGGCUGAGAAUUGAGCCCUAGAUUCGUCCCACAAGAUUCAUAAUUAAUUUUUAAUUCAUCAUUACCACGACUGAAAGGAAGGUUAGUUUGUGUGUGAAACUGUUUGAUUUUUUCCCUAGGCGAAUACUCAUCCGUUUGACCUGAAAUUUGUCACAUUUUGUCUCAAAUUCAUUUGAGAUUCUUACGUGGAAUUUCAGGAAAAAACUAUUUUGAGUUAGUUUUUCAAAAAUUUUGUGCAAACCAAGACUAUCCUCUACCACAACUUUUUGUAACUUUUUUCUUGGUUCGUACUGCGCUGAAAAAAUUCACACAAGUACUUUCCUAUGUUGUUUCCACCUAAGGAGGCACAACCAUAAAUAAAUCACAAAAAGAAGAUACAGGGUAGAAAAUCCAGGAUGUUUUGAUUUUGGAAAAACAGUUUUGUUCACUCUCGAUCUAGGACUUACUACGCCUUACUCCUUAGGUAUUUUGGUCUAAAACUUUCACCAUACAUUCCUCAUUGUGUCUAUUUAGUUUUGGUAAAGAUUUGAGCCCCAGAUUCAUCCCACAAUAUUCACAAUAAAUUUUUUACUCCUCACUACUAGGGUUGAAAAGAAGUUUCGUUUAUGUGUGAAACUGUUUGAUUUUUUCCCUAGCUGAAUACUAAUCCGUUUGACCUGAAAUUUGUCGCAUUUUUUCCUAAAUUCAGUCGACAUUCUUACGUGUAAUUUCAGGAAAAAACUAUUUCGGGUGAGUUUUUCAGAAAUUUUGUGCAAAUCAAGGCUAUGUUCUACGAAAACUUGUGAAAUUUCACCCUACUUUUUGCAAUUUUUUUCUGGGUCCGCAUUACGUUGAAAAAAUUCACACAAGAAUUUUCAUAUGUUGUUUGCACCUAAGAAGGAACGUUCAUAAAUAAAUCACAAAAGGAAGAUAUGGGGUAGAAAAGAAAUGACUUUUUCUUUUUGGAAAACUAGUUUUCUUCACUCUCGGUCUAGGACUUACUACGCCUUAGUCCUUGGGCAUUUUGUUCUAAAAAUUUUACUAGACAUUCGUCAAUGUGUCUAUUGAGUUUUGGCUGAGAGUUGAGCCCCAGAUUCCUCCCACAAUAUUCACAAUUAAUUUUUAAAUCAUCACUACCACCGCUGAAAGAAAGGUUAGUUUGUGUGUGAAACUGUUUGAUUUUUUCCCUAGGUGAAUACUCAUCCGUUUGACCUUAAACUUGUCGCAUUUUUUCUCAAAUUCAGUCAAUAUUCUUACAUGGAAUUUCAAGAAAAAACUAUUUCGAGUUAGUUUUUCAGAAAUUUUGUGCAACCCAAAGCUAUCCUCUACCAAAACUUGUGAAAUUCCUACCUAGUUUUUGUAAUUUUUUUCUAGAUUCGUAUUGCGCUGAAAAAAUUCACACAAGUACUUUCAUAUUUUGUUUGCACCUAAGGAGGCACAACAAUAAAUAAAUCACAAAAAGAAGAUACAUGAUAGAAAUGUGAGGACGUUUUGUUUUUGUCAAACCAGUUUUGUUCACUCUCGAUCUGGGACUUACUACGCCUUACUACUUAGGUAUUUUUGUCUAAAAAUUUUCCAGACAUUCAUCAUUGUGUCUAUUGAGUUUUGAUUAAGAUUUGAGUCACCGAUUCGUCACACAAGAUUCGCAAUAAAUUUUUUAUUCAUCACUAUCAUGGCUGAAAAUAAGGUUCGUUUGUGUGUGAAACUGUUUGAUUUUUUUCCUAGGUGAAUACUCAUGCGGUUGACCUUAAAUUUGUCACAUUUUGUCCUAAAUUGAGUCGAGAUUCUUAGGUGGAAUUUUAAGAAAAAAAUAUUUCGGGAGAACUUUUCAGAAAUUUUGUGCAAACCAAGGCUCUCAUCUACCAAACCUUUUGAAAUUUCACCUUACUUUCUGCAAAAACAAAUUGGGUCCGUAUUGCGCUGAAAAAAUCCACACAAGUACUUUCAUAUGUUCUUUGCACCCAGGUAAGGAGGCACGUCCAUAAAUAAAUCACAAAAAGAAGAUACGGAGUAAAAAAGACAAGACGUUUUGUUUUCGCAAAACCAGUUUUGUUCACUCUCUGUCUAAGACGUACUACGCCUUACUCCUUAAGUAUUUUCGUAUGAAAUUUUUACCAGAUAUUCGUUAUUGUGUCUAUUGGGCUUUGGCUAAGAUUUGAACCCCAGAUUAGUCCCACAAUAUUGGCAAUAAAAAUUUUAUUCAUCACUGCCAGGGCUGAAAGGAAGGUUCGUUUGUGUUUGAAACUGUCUGGUUUUUUUCCUAAGUGAAGACUAAUCCGUUUAUCAUUAAAUUUGUCGCAUUUUGUCUUAAAUUUAGUCGAGAUUCUUAUGUGGAAUUUCAGGAAAAGUCUAUUUCGGGAGAAUUUUUCAGAAAUUUUGUGCAAACCAAGGUGAUCCAGUACCAAAACUUUUGAAAUUUCGCCCUAUUUUGUGCAAAAAAAAAUGGUUUGUAUUGCGCUGAAAAGAAUUCACACAAGUAUUUUCAUAUGAUGUUUGCACUCAGGUAAGGAGGCACGUCCAUAAAUAAAUCACAAAAAAAAAGAUACGGGGUAAAAAAGCGAGGACGUUUUGUUUUCGGAAAACCAGUUUUGUUCACUCUCAAUUUGGGACUUACUACGCGUUAUUCCUUGGAUAUUUUGGUAUGAAAAUUUUACUAGACAUUCGCCAUUAUGUCUAUUGAGUUUUGGUUGAGACUUAGGGUCUAGAUUCCUCCCACAAGAUUCGCAAUAACAUUAUGAAACUGUUUGAUUCUUUUUGUAUGUGAAUACUCAUCUCUUUGACAUGAAAUUUGUCGCGUUCUGUCCCAAAUUUAGUGUAGAAUCUUACGUGAAAUUUUAGGGAAAACCUAUUUCAUGAGAAAUUUUCAGAAAAUUUCGUGUAAACCAAGGCUAUCCUCUACCAAAACUUGUGAAAAUUUCCCCCUACUUUCUGCAGUUUUUAUUCUGCGUCCGUAUUGCGUUGAAAAAAUUAACACAAGUAUUUUCAUAUAUUGUUUGCAGCCAGGUAAGGAGACACGUCCAUAAAAUAAUCACAAAAAGAAGAUAUGUGGAAGAAAGGCUAGGAAGUUUUGUUUUCGGAAAACCAGUUUUGUUCACUCUCGGUCUGGGACUUACUACGCGUACUCCAAUAGUCCCACAUCGCUUAGUAGUAGAUGCCAAGGACAAUUUAAAUAUAAUUUCCUCCAUUAACACCCAAAUCAAACCUUUUUCUUCAUUUCUUUAAUCUCUGAGAGAUGAAGACUUCCUUUAUUGUAGCCCAUCUCUAAUUUUUCUUUUUAACAUAUCGUAUUUCCCGAAUCCAUUUGGAAAGUUAGAGAAGAAGAAGGUUGUGAAGUUAUGUGAUGAUUGUUGAGGUCUGCGAAUGCGAAUGUUCUCAUAGAACCCUCUUGGCAUUGCAAUUGUUAGGAGAGAGAGGACAGAAAAAAAAUUUCUUAUUACCAACUUAAUCUGAGAAAAAAUAAUAUAUAAUUUAAUUAAUAUAGAAAUUGAUUAUUUUUUAUAUCUAAAUUAAUUUUUGUUUACCUAUUUUCUUGUAGAGUUAUCUUGCAGAAAAAAUCUAUUACAAUGUUAAAUUCAAAAAAUUGCAGAGUUAUCUUGCAGAUGUUUUUCUCUUUGGGGGAAUAACAAAAUUGGGUGGAUUCACAACAAAGUAGACGAUGGAAGUGGAAGCUUACUGUCUAUGUGGCAUAAAAAAGUAUUUGAUUAUUAAAGUCAUCUGAUGGGAACAUGCUUUAUUAUCAUCUACGGCCAAUACAUCAAAACUUCCUAUAGGUGUGCGGUUGUAAAUGUCUACUUUCCAUGCUUGUUGAAUGGAAAGAAGACUUUAUGGAAGGAUCUUGUUAAAGCAAAAUUGGCAUCUAACGUAUUAGCUUGGUGCUUUUGUGGUGAUUUCAACGCGGUAAGAAGUAGAAGUGAAAAGAAAGGCAUCAGUGGUAGGGGAGAGCAGUCAAGUGAGGUAAUUGGCUUUAAUAGUUUCAUUGACUCCAUCUUUUUCUUAGAGUUACCUCUAGUAGGUAAGAAGUUUACGUGGUUUAAACCGGAUGGAACAACAAAGAGUAGAAUAGAUAGAGUGCUUGUAGAUUAAGAUUGGUUACAGCUCUGACCCAUGAGUAAACAAUAUGUCCUACGAAGGGAAGUGUCAAACCACUGUGCUCUGGUGGUUAAGUCUGUGGAGAAGGACUGGGGUCCUAAACCUUUCAGAACCAUUGAUGCUUGGUUCUUGAAGAGAGGAUUCAAUAGGAUGGUGCAGGAUAAAUGGCAGUCCUACUAGGUGCAGGGGUAUGGCAUGACGAAGGUUAAAGAAAAGUUGAAACUUCUCAAAUCAGAUUUGAAGUCUUGGAAUAUGGAUGUCUUUGGCAACCUUGACACCGAAAAGAGGAGGAUUCUACAGGAUCUGGAGGCUUUAGACUGCCAAGAUUGCUUUGGGGGUCUAGUGGAAAAUGACAGGUUGAAAAGAUUGGAGUUGGUAAGCCGUCUGAAAGAGAAUGAUAAGAAAAUUGAAUCCCUCAGUUGUCAAAAGGCGAGAGAAAGUUGGUUUAAGAAUGGGGAUUCCUGUACCAGAUUCUUCCACUCAUCUGUGAGGUGGAGAAGGCUCAUAAACAAAGUGAAUGGUGUCCAGGUGGGGGACCAAUGGUGUGAGGAAGCAAACACUGUCCGUUUAGAAGCUAAGAAGCUUUUCGAAGAUAGAUUUAGAGCAACGAAAGAUUUGGGGUAAGGUUGGAUGAAGUUGAGUUUAAGUCACUAUCUCUGAUUGAUAACGAGGGUCUCCUAGUUGUGUUCUCUGGGAAAGAGAUUAGGGUUGCAAUGUGACAGUGUGAAGGAUCAAAGAGCCCUGGACCAGACGACUUCAACUUUAACUUCAUUAAGAAGAGUUGGGAUUUCUUAAAAGAUGAUAUCAUGGCAGCGCUGACCCUGUUUCAUGAAACGGGGAGUAUACCGAAGGGUUGUAAUGCUUCCUUCAUAUCUUUGGUUCCUAAAGUCAGGGAUCCCUCUAAGCUCGAGCAAUAUAGACCCCUCUCAUUAGUUGGAGCACUUUACAAAAUUAUUUCUAAGGUGUUAGCUUUUAGAAUGAAGAAGGUGUUGCCUGCUCUGAUAGAUGAAUGUCAAUCAGCUUUUGUAAAAGGAAGAGGGAUCUUAGAUAGUGUGCUUAUGACAAAUGAAGUUGUAGAAUACCUAAGGGGAAAUCGGAGAACAGGGUUAUGCCUAAAGGUGGACUUCGAAAAAGCAUAUGACUCGGUUAGAUGGGAAUUCUUAUAUGAUAUGCUAUCCAGGAUGGGGUUCCACAACCUAUGGAUUGUUUGGAUUAAAGGAUGCCUGGAAUCCACAACCUAUGGAUUGUUUGGAUUAAAGGAUGCUUGGAAUCCACCUCUGUGUCUCUACUAGUCAACGAGAGCCCUACAGAGGAAUUCAAGCCAACAAGAUGGUUGAGGCAGGGAAACCCCCUUGCACCCUUUUUGUUCUUAGUUGUAGCUAAAGUCCUUGUUGGGUUAGUUCGAAGAGCUAGCAAAAUCGACUUGCUAACGGGCCUCAAGAUUGGAAGGAAGGAGAUAGAGGUGUGUAUCCUCCAAUUUGCGGAUGAUACUCUCUUCCUAUGUGAAGACUCCCUUAAUAACAUGGUAACCUUGAAGGCCAUCCUAAUGGGUUAUGAAUUAGUCUCAGGAUUGAAGAUUAACUUCCACAAGUCAAAGCUAACGGGCUUUAAUGUUCAAAGUAAUGUUGUAGCUUAUUACACAAAGACCUUGAACUGUACCCAGAUGGGGUUACCGUUUAAAUACCUGGGCCUUGAAGUGGGAGGUAACCCCAGGAAGAAGCAGUUUUGGAAACCGGUCAUUAAUAAGUUAAAAACAAGGCUCAGUGUGUGGAAAGGGAGAUUUUUAACCAUGGCAGGGAGAAUUUGCCUUAUUAACUCUAUUAUAACCGCUAUUCCUCUGUAUUAUCUCUCUCUUUUCAAAGCACCGAGCCCAGUCUGAAAGAGGAUUACUAGUAUCCAGAGAAGAUUCUUAUGGGGUUGGGGGAAAGUGAGCAAGCCAAUCUAUUGGGUAAGUUGGAAAGACGUAUGCAGACCUAGAGAGGAGGGAGGACUGGGUUUAAGAGAAAUAUGUAAGUUUAAUUAUGCCCUCCUAGCUAAAUGGAGAUGGCGUUGUAUCUCUCAAGAGGAAGGGAGGUGGAAAGAGAUUCUGGUCUCAAAGUAUGGGCUAGAGCCUGGAAAUGCCCAAACACCUGUCAAACUUCAAUCUUGGUGGUAGAGAGAUCUUUCCAAAGUGUGCAAGGAGGGAGGAGGAAAAGGAUGGUUCCAAGAAGAAUUAAGUUGGGAACUAGGCUAUGGAGACAAAGUAAAGUUCUGGGAGGAGGUGUGGGUUGGUAGUAAUGGUCUUAAAUCCAUGUUCCCCAGAUUGUAUUCACUGUCCUAAAUCAGGGCCAAACAGUGCGUGAAGUUGGUGUGUGGAUUAAUUCGGAAUGGAGAUGAAGUAUGGGGUGGAGGCGUGCCAGAUUUGAGUGGGAAUCCACAAUGGAAGCUGAUCUUGCUACGUUGUUAUCUGGGGCACCCAUGAAAAAGAAUGUCAUGGAUGUGUUGUUGUGGGGGAAGGAAGUACCAGGGAUAUUUACAGUGAACUCCGCUUAUGAGCGCCUAGCUAAACAAACUAGAGGUACCCAAUCUGAAGUGUUUUUUCUCGUUUGGAAGGCAAAGGCAUUUCCAAAUGUGGUAACAAUAACUUGGAGAGUACUGCUGGAUAGAAUUCCAACAAGGGUGUGCUUGAGCAGGAAAUGGUUGAUGAUAGAUACGACGCUUUGUGCAAUGUGUCAGGCCAAGGAGGAGUCAUGCCAACAUCUCUUUCUGGAGUAUAAAUAUGCUCAAAGGGUUUGGUCCUUGUGCUUCAAAUGGAUAGGUAUUUCUUUUGUUCAACAAAAUGACUUAAACUCGCACUUCCUGAGUUUUUAUCUGAGCAAAGCUAGUAAGAAGCAAAAUCUGGUAUGGAAAGGUGUUUGGGCAUCAAUUAUUAGAUGUAUCUGGGAUCAAAGGAACCUGAUUGUAUUCAAACAAGGGCUAGUAGAUGCGGAGGAGGUGUUUCAAAAGGCUCAACUCAAAUCCUUGUUCUGGAUGAAGCCUAAAGUGCAUUCCUUUAUCCAUUCCUUCGUAGACUGGGUUCUCAACCCAAUGUUAUGCAUUAAAAGCUAUAAUUAGGAUCUCAGGUGCCAAGAAUAGUUAAGCUUAUGGUGCAGUAGCUGGUUUGGGAAGAGGGUUGCACUAUUGUUUUGUGGUUUUUAAGUUGUAGAUGUAGGGGUACUAGUGUUUAAUUCUAUGGCCUGUGCUGGUAUGCAUACCUGGGUUGAGGUACUGGAGCUAGUGUUAGAUGGAAGUGGGAAUUAUCCCAAUUUACCCUGUUGCUGUGAUGCUAUGAUGUUCUUUUGGUUUAUCUGGGUUAAGGUUUUUGCAUUGUAUGGGAACCUUAUGAUUGGUUAUCUAUGAAGCCAGAUAUGGUUGUCGAUGCUGCAAUGGGUAUGUAGGUGUGCACAGGGUCUGUGGAAGCAGUUCUAGAAGGUCAUGUCAAGGCUGUUAUAUCUCUGUUUUUGCACGCAGUGUGACUUGGAGGGCUCCCAGUUUGCUAUCACAUUCUCACCUAGUUGGUUUGCUUUGUAAUGGAAGAAGGAGAAUAGUUGGAGGAGUUAACUGCAAUGUCCAGAAGUUGAGGGUGUGGUGUGGUGUACUAACUUGAUUUCAUGGUUGCAAACACGAGUCACAGUUAUGUUAGUCAAAGGAGGGGCUUGAUGGAGCUGUUGUGCAUAACAGGGAGCAGAUGGAGCUAUAGGGGUUUAAUACUAAGUAAGGAGGUUUAGGAGGAAAAGGCUUGGAAGUGAUUUGAAGAAUAUUUAGGAGACUUUAACUUCUGAUAUAGUCAUCUCAGGAUAAAGGGAUCUAAGCUGGGAAAUUAUGUGGGAUCCAAGUUAAAGAAUCAACAUCCAAUCAUUCUAAGAACGAGAUGGGUUGUUGGCUUGGCUGCUAAACAUGCUGGUAGGUUUUUAAGACAAACUGAAUUCCAUGUUGGAUUUAAAGGCCUAAUCAGCUGGCUAUCUACAGAGUCUAAUGUUAGAAACAGGGUGAAACUUAUGCUCAUUUUGGCGUAUUCUGGUCUGGAGAAAAAAGGUGAGUGCAUUGUUCUUUCCUGAAGUGAUUUGAAGCUAAAGGAAUAUCAAUGACUAGAUGGAGGUUUCUUUUCUUUUGGUGAGUUUCGGUGGUUUAGAAGUUGCAGAUUGCAACUCUUGAAGCAGACCUUGCGAGGAAGGUGCUUGCUGGUGCAGGUGUUUCUUAGUUUAUGCAGCAAAUAUCACUUUUCUAAUGCUUUUGGGGUGUAUUCGGAGACCUCUUAAGGUGGACUUUGGGUUGUGUAAAAGGGUUGGAAUAUCCCUAUUAUAUCUCUUUAAUUUAAUUUCAUUCUUUGCUGAUAAAAAUAAAAUUCUUUUUUCUCUAUGUUCUCUCUUAUUCAUUAUGAUUAGGGUUCUUGUUCUCACUGCUUCUCGCAUCCAAUAUUGCUCUAAUAGUUUGGUUCUUGAUUUUUUUUUAUCUAAAGUUAAAAAAAUCGUUAUUUUAUUGUGAUUUUAAAAUGAAUUUUUGAAAUUUAACAAAAGUUAAAAAAAAUCCGCUAUAUUUUGUUGAGUUUUUAAAAUAAUUUUUGAAAGUUAACAAAUGUUAAAAAAAACCUCCAUUAAUUAAAUUAAUUUCUAGAAUUAUAUUAAUUUCCGCUAAAUAAUUUCCGUUAAAAUCAUUUUCUAUUAUACGCAAUUAUAAUAAUACACGUUUGUUUUGAUACAAAUGUUUUAAUAAUUUUUGUUAUAUUUUUUUCUAUAUGUUAUGAAAAUAUAUAUUAAUUAAAGAUUUUUUUGUUAUUUGAGAAAUAUAUAUAUAUAUAUAAUAUUUUUCUAUAUGCAUUAUAAGUAUUUUAUUUAUUUUAUUCAUUCUUUAUUAAUACAAAAUAAAUAAAAUCUGCUAGCAUUAGGUUGUUGCUCCCACAUAGCAAAAAAGAAAAGUGUGUGAGCCCCCACAGUAGUAGCAAGUGUCGUUCAUUAUUGCUCAUUUACCACCCCUUUCUUUAACUAAUUUUUGGACCAGAUUUAAUUAAUUUUAUUAGGUUGUAUAUGGCAAUAAAAAGUUAAAGUUAGUUAAUUUAGAAUUUAAGAUUUAAGAUUUAUUUAAUUUUAAAAAAAUAUUUUUUAUAAAAAAAUAUUUAAAUUAUUAUUUUAUUUUACGUUCUUUUAAAUUAAAAUAUUUAUACAUAAUAUUUUAUAAUAUUAGUUGCAUUUUUAAAUAAAUAUAUAUUCACAUUUUUUUAUAAUAUUUUAUUUAUUUGAUAUUUUUAUAGAAAAAAAUAUUUAAUAAAUAUUUGGUUGUGAUUAUGAAUAAAAACUAUUUUUCUAUCAUAUGGAAGAAUAAAAAGUAAAUCCAAAAAAACUAAAUACCACAAUUAAUACAAGUAAAAAGCUGAAAAUCUAGAAAUUAAUUUAAAAAGUUCUAUAAAUGCUAUCUCGUGCUAAGCUAUGUUAGCAUCCAAUUCUACUAUUCACUCAUCAUUCAUAUUCAAGUUGCUCCAAUGUCUUUGGCAAGUGAGAAAGAAGCAAAUGAAGAAAAUGAGUUCAUCCUCUCCCUUCCCAAGGAGACGGGUUUGAAUUUCACUCCCUAUCUCCAUCUAUUUCAAGAUUUUUGGUGCCCAACAGAUUAUGUUCAUGGAGUGAACAAGUUUCAAAAACAUUUUGAUGCAAAAGACAAUGAUGUUUUUGUUGCUAGCUUUCCAAAGUCAGGUACUACCUGGUUGAAAGCUCUUACUUUUGUAAUUGCAAACCAUCAACGUUUUUCCUCUUUCGACAACCAUCCAUUACUCUCUUCCAAUCCUCAUGAACUUGUGCCCUUCCCUGAAUUUAUGUAUUCUUAUGAUUUGCAUGACCAAAUUCUUUCCCUCUCCAACAUGAGUGACCCAAGACUUCUUUCUACUCACCUACCAUUCCCUUCAUUACCUGAAUCCAUCACAAAAUCCAAUUGCAAGAUCAUUUAUAUACGUAGAAAUCCAUUUGAUACUUUUGUUUCAGCAUGGGAAUUCUUUACUAAAAUAAAG